AGUUUGAUCCUGGCUCAGGAUGAACGCUAGCUACAGGCUUAACACAUGCAAGUCGAGGGGCAGCAUGGUCUUAGCUUGCUAAGGCCGAUGGCGACCGGCGCACGGGUGAGUAACACGUAUCCAACCUGCCGUCUACUCUUGGACAGCCUUCUGAAAGGAAGAUUAAUACAAGAUGGCAUCAUGAGUCCGCAUGUUCACAUGAUUAAAGGUAUUCCGGUAGACGAUGGGGAUGCGUUCCAUUAGAUAGUAGGCGGGGUAACGGCCCACCUAGUCUUCGAUGGAUAGGGGUUCUGAGAGGAAGGUCCCCCACAUUGGAACUGAGACACGGUCCAAACUCCUACGGGAGGCAGCAGUGAGGAAUAUUGGUCAAUGGGCGAGAGCCUGAACCAGCCAAGUAGCGUGAAGGAUGACUGCCCUAUGGGUUGUAAACUUCUUUUAUAAAGGAAUAAAGUCGGGUAUGCAUACCCGUUUGCAUGUACUUUAUGAAUAAGGAUCGGCUAACUCCGUGCCAGCAGCCGCGGUAAUACGGAGGAUCCGAGCGUUAUCCGGAUUUAUUGGGUUUAAAGGGAGCGUAGAUGGAUGUUUAAGUCAGUUGUGAAAGUUUGCGGCUCAACCGUAAAAUUGCAGUUGAUACUGGAUAUCUUGAGUGCAGUUGAGGCAGGCGGAAUUCGUGGUGUAGCGGUGAAAUGCUUAGAUAUCACGAAGAACUCCGAUUGCGAAGGCAGCCUGCUAAGCUGCAACUGACAUUGAGGCUCGAAAGUGUGGGUAUCAAACAGGAUUAGAUACCCUGGUAGUCCACACGGUAAACGAUGAAUACUCGCUGUUUGCGAUAUACGGCAAGCGGCCAAGCGAAAGCGUUAAGUAUUCCACCUGGGGAGUACGCCGGCAACGGUGAAACUCAAAGGAAUUGACGGGGGCCCGCACAAGCGGAGGAACAUGUGGUUUAAUUCGAUGAUACGCGAGGAACCUUACCCGGGCUUAAAUUGCAGAUGAAUUACGGUGAAAGCCGUAAGCCGCAAGGCAUCUGUGAAGGUGCUGCAUGGUUGUCGUCAGCUCGUGCCGUGAGGUGUCGGCUUAAGUGCCAUAACGAGCGCAACCCUUGUUGUCAGUUACUAACAGGUUCCGCUGAGGACUCUGACAAGACUGCCAUCGUAAGAUGUGAGGAAGGUGG
RNAcentral lists this ribosomal RNA (1171 nucleotides) under uncultured Bacteroides sp. RNAcentral describes it as "bacterial SSU rRNA". It matches the Rfam family "Bacterial small subunit ribosomal RNA", at positions 10 to 1176 of the family's 1533-position model. Lineage: Bacteria; Pseudomonadati; Bacteroidota; Bacteroidia; Bacteroidales; Bacteroidaceae. The record is from RNAcentral.